CCCUCCUGCCCGCUCUCCCUUUUCCCGGCCCUUGGCACCACGUGGGGGCGAGACUGAGAGGUUCUUACCACGUGGGAAUCAGCCAGUUAGACGGUCCCCGGGUAUCGCCAGAUCUGCCAGGCGCCCUCCUCUUGGACUGGGUUUCUGGGGCCGACAAGACGAACAUGGGCGACCCUUGCCUGCUUUGAACCCCAGCUUCUGCGGGAGUGGAUCUCAGAGUUUGGUGGAGAAUAUGGAUUCCAGCCCCAGAAAUACUCAGCAAUUCACAUGGUUCACCCAAGACUCCAGGUUCAGACUUCUGGUGCACCCUUAAAUCCAAGUGAGAGGUCACCUUCCUCGCUGACAACGAGGGCCCAAUCCCAGCGAUACCCGGAGGUGCACCAGGUGGGUCAGAGCCACAGCUUUGUUCCAUCCUGGUAAGCUGUGACCCCUGACCCCUCAGGAGCGUUCACUCCCCUCACUGCCCUCGCCACCGUUCUCCCCUGAAAUCUACCUCUGAGCCUGCCUGAUAAAGGGACAAAAACCCUCUGCAGCCUCCGACUGACCCCAAUCCCCACCGGCUGAACGCUGCAGCUUCUCCUCUUGAGCCGAAGCCUGGCCGCUUCCCUACUGUCUCCUUACUCCAUCCCGAUCUCCCCUUGGCUGCCAGGAGCAUCAUCCUAAAAGUUACAUGAAUAAAUACUCAGCCC
Non-coding RNA from Oryctolagus cuniculus (rabbit), 689 nucleotides. The record is from RefSeq and is a predicted model, not a curated record. NCBI's taxonomy places the organism in Eukaryota, Metazoa, Chordata, Mammalia, Lagomorpha, Leporidae.